AGCUCGUAGUUGGAUUUCUGUUAAUAUUUUAUAUUAUUAAUUUAUUAUUAUUAAUAUAAUGUUAACAUAAUUCAUAUUACUUUUUAAGUAUAUGAAAUUUUACUUUGAGAAAAUUAGAGUGCUUAAAGCAGGCUUUUGCCUUGAAUACUCCAGCAUGGAAUAAUAUUAAAGAUUUUUAUCUUUCUUAUUGGUUCUAAGAUAGAAAUAAUGAUUAAUAGGGACAGUUGGGGGCAUUUGUAUUUAACAGUCAGAGGUGAAAUUCUUAGAUUUGUUAAAGACAAACUAAUGCGAAAGCAUUUGCCAAGGAUGUUUUCAUUAAUCAAGAACGAAAGUUAGGGGAUCGAAGACGAUCAGAUACCGUCGUAGUCUUAACCAUAAACUAUGCCCACUAGAGAUUGGGGGGUGUUCCUUACUCCUUCAGCACCUUA
RNAcentral lists this ribosomal RNA (428 nucleotides) under Cryptosporidium environmental sequence. RNAcentral's name for it is "SSU rRNA". It matches the Rfam family "Eukaryotic small subunit ribosomal RNA", at positions 625 to 1090 of the family's 1831-position model. The record is from RNAcentral. Lineage: Eukaryota; Apicomplexa; Conoidasida; Eucoccidiorida; Cryptosporidiidae.